UGCAGUCGACGGGAUCUACUGGUAAGCUUGCUUAUUGGUAGUGAGAGUGGCGCACGGGUGCGUAACGCGUGAGCAACCUACCCUUGUCAGGGGGAUAGCCCGGCGAAAGUCGGAUUAAUACCGCAUGACAUCAUUGAGAGGCAUCUUUCGAUGAUCAAAGAUUUAUCGGACAAGGAUGGGCUCGCGUGACAUUAGCUAGUUGGUAAGGUAACGGCUUACCAAGGCAACGAUGUCUAGGGGCUCUGAGAGGAGAAUCCCCCACACUGGUACUGAGACACGGACCAGACUCCUACGGGAGGCAGCAGUAAGGAAUAUUGGUCAAUGGACGGAAGUCUGAACCAGCCAUGCCGCGUGCAGGAAGACGGCCCUAUGGGUUGUAAACUGAUUUUAUACGGGAACAAACGUCGGUACGUGUACCGGUCUGAGUGUACCGUAAGAAUAAGGAUCGGCUAACUCCGUGCCAGCAGCCGCGGUAAUACGGAGGAUCCGAGCGUUAUCCGGAAUUAUUGGGUUUAAAGGGUGCGUAGGCGGCCAGAUAAGUCAGGGGUGAAAGUCGGCAGCUCAACUGUCGCAGUGCCUUUGAUACUGUUUGGCUUGAAUUCGGUUGAAGAUGGCGGAAUGAGACAAGUAGCGGUGAAAUGCAUAGAUAUGUCUCAGAACCCCGAUUGCGAAGGCAGCUAUCUAAGCCGUUAUUGACGCUGAUGCACGAAAGCGU
Molecule: ribosomal RNA, 715 nt
Filed under: uncultured bacterium
Lineage: Bacteria
Description: bacterial SSU rRNA
Rfam family: Bacterial small subunit ribosomal RNA
Source: RNAcentral